Molecule: ribosomal RNA, 497 nt
Filed under: uncultured bacterium
Lineage: Bacteria
Description: partial 16S ribosomal RNA
Rfam family: Bacterial small subunit ribosomal RNA
Source: RNAcentral
GAUGAACGCUGGCGGCGUGCCUAAUACAUGCAAGUCGAGCGAACGGACGAGAAGCUUGCUUCUCUGAUGUUAGCGGCGGACGGGUGAGUAACACGUGGAUAACCUACCUAUAAGACUGGGAUAACUUCGGGAAACCGGAGCUAAUACCGGAUAAUAUUUUGAACCGCAUGGUUCAAAAGUGAAAGCCGGUCUUGCUGUCACUUAUAGAUGGAUCCGCGCUGCAUUAGCUAGUUGGUAAGGUAACGGCUUACCAAGGCAACGAUGCAUAGCCGACCUGAGAGGGUGAUCGGCCACACUGGAACUGAGACACGGUCCAGACUCCUACGGGAGGCAGCAGUAGGGAAUCUUCCGCAAUGGGCGAAAGCCUGACGGAGCAACGCCGCGUGAGUGAUGAAGGUCUUCGGAUCGUAAAACUCUGUUAUUAGGGAAGAACAUAUGUGUAAGUAACUGUGCACAUCUUGACGGUACCUAACCAGAAAGCCACGGCUAACUACGUG